GAUGAACGCUGGCGGCGUGCCUAAUACAUGCAAGUCGAGCGAACAGACGAGGAGCUUGCUCCUCUGACGUUAGCGGCGGACGGGUGAGUAACACGUGGAUAACCUACCUAUAAUACUGGGAUAACUUCGGGAAACCGGAGCUAAUACCGGAUAAUAUAUUGAACCGCAUGGUUCAAUAGUGAAAGACGGUUUUGCUGUCACUUAUAGAUGGAUCCGCGUCGCAUUAGCUAGUUGGUAAGGUAACGGCUUACCAAGGCAACGAUGCGUAGCCGACCUGAGAGGAUGAUCGGCCACACUGGAACUGAGACACGGUCCAGACUCCUACGGGAGGCAGCAGUAGGGAAUCUUCCGCAAUGGGCGAAAGCCUGACGGAGCAACGCCGCGUGAGUGAUGAAGGUCUUCGGAUCGUAAAACUCUGUUAUUAGGGAAGAAAAAAUGUGUAAGUAACUAUGGACGUCUUGACGGUACCUAAUCAGAAAGCCACGGCUAACUACGUG
RNAcentral lists this ribosomal RNA (497 nucleotides) under uncultured bacterium. Its description in RNAcentral is "partial 16S ribosomal RNA". It matches the Rfam family "Bacterial small subunit ribosomal RNA", at positions 28 to 507 of the family's 1533-position model. The record is from RNAcentral.